Molecule: ribosomal RNA, 778 nt
Filed under: uncultured archaeon
Lineage: Archaea
Description: bacterial SSU rRNA
Rfam family: Archaeal small subunit ribosomal RNA
Source: RNAcentral
GGGAAUACUGCAAAGCUAGGGAGUGGGAGAGGUAGACGGUACUCGGUAGGAAGGGGUAAAAUCCUUUGAUCUAUUGAUGACCACCUGUGGCGAAGGCGGUCUACCAGAACACGUCCGACGGUGAGGGAUGAAAGCUGGGGGAGCAAACCGGAUUAGAUACCCGGGUAGUCCCAGCUGUAAACGAUGCAGACUCGGUGAUGCUCUGGCUUGUGGCCAGUGCAGUGCCGCAGGGAAGCCGUUAAGUUUGCCGCCUGGGAAGUACGUACGCAAGUAUGAAACUUAAAGGAAUUGGCGGGGGAGCACCACAAGGGGUGAAGCCUGCGGUUCAAUUGGAGUCAACGCCAGAAAUCUUACCCGGAGAGACAGCAGAAUGAAGGUCAAGCUGAAGACUUUACCAGACAAGCUGAGAGGUGGUGCAUGGCCGUCGCCAGCUCGUGCCGCGAGAUGUCCUGUUAAGUCAGGUAACGAGCGAGAUCCUUGCCUCUAGUUGCCACCAUUACUCUCAGGAGUAGUGGGGCGAAUUAGCGGGACCGCCGCAGUUAAUGCGGAGGAAGGAAGGGGCCACGGCAGGUCAGUAUGCCCCGAAACUCUGGGGCCACACGCGGGCUGCAAUGGUAGUGACAAUGGGUUCCAAAACCGAAAGGUGGAGGUAAUCCUCAAACGCUACCACAGUUAUGAUUGAGGGCUGCAACUCGUCCUCAUGAAUAUGGAAUCCCUAGUAACUGCGUGUCAUUAUCGCGCGGUGAAUACGUCCCUGCUCCUUGCACACACCGCCCGU